This is a transfer RNA of Conidiobolus coronatus NRRL 28638, 72 nucleotides long. It matches the Rfam family "tRNA". From Rfam's summary of the family: Transfer RNA (tRNA) molecules are approximately 80 nucleotides in length. Their secondary structure includes four short double-helical elements and three loops (D, anti-codon, and T loops). Further hydrogen bonds mediate the characteristic L-shaped molecular structure. tRNAs have two regions of fundamental functional importance: the anti-codon, which is responsible for specific mRNA codon recognition, and the 3' end, to which the tRNAs corresponding amino acid is attached (by aminoacyl-tRNA synthetases). tRNAs cope with the degeneracy of the genetic code in two manners: having more than one tRNA (with a specific anti-codon) for a particular amino acid; and 'wobble' base-pairing, i.e. permitting non-standard base-pairing at the 3rd anti-codon position. Lineage: Eukaryota; Fungi; Entomophthoromycota; Entomophthoromycetes; Entomophthorales; Conidiobolaceae. The record is from Rfam.
GCCUAUGUGGCCAAGUGGUAAGGCGUCUGUCUUGUAAACAGAAGAUCCGUGGUUCAAUCCCGCGUAUGGGCA